UGAGGAAUAUUGGUCAAUGGACGAGAGUCUGAACCAGCCAAGUAGCGUGCAGGAUGACGGCCCUAUGGGUUGUAAACUGCUUUUAUAAGGGAAUAAAGUUAGAGUCGUGACUCUUUUUGCAUGUACCUUAUGAAUAAGGACCGGCUAAUUCCGUGCCAGCAGCCGCGGUAAUACGGAAGGUCCGGGCGUUAUCCGGAUUUAUUGGGUUUAAAGGGAGCGUAGGCCGGAGAUUAAGCGUGCUGUGAAAUACUGUCGCUCAACGACAGAGGUGCAGCGCGAACUGGGAGACUUGAGUGCGCGGAAUGCAGGCGGAAUUCGUCGUGUAGCGGUGAAAUGCUUAGAUAUGACGAAGAACUCCGAUUGCGAAGGCAGCUUGCAGUAGCGUAACUGACGCUGAAGCUCGAAAGUGCGGGUAUCGAACAGGAUUAGAUACCCUGGUAGU
This 442-nucleotide ribosomal RNA is filed under the name uncultured Prevotella sp. RNAcentral describes it as "bacterial SSU rRNA". It matches the Rfam family "Bacterial small subunit ribosomal RNA", at positions 355 to 794 of the family's 1533-position model. The record is from RNAcentral. Lineage: Bacteria; Pseudomonadati; Bacteroidota; Bacteroidia; Bacteroidales; Prevotellaceae.